GUGUCAGCCGCCGCGGUAAUACGUAGGUGGCAAGCGUUGUCCGGAAUUAUUGGGCGUAAAGCGCGCGCAGGCGGCCUUUUAAGUCUGAUGUGAAAUCUUGCGGCUCAACCGCAAGCGGCCAUUGGAAACUGGGAGGCUUGAGUACAGAAGAGGAGAGUGGAAUUCCACGUGUAGCGGUGAAAUGCGUAGAUAUGUGGAGGAACACCAGUGGCGAAGGCGACUCUCUGGUCUGUAACUGACGCUGAGGCGCGAAAGCGUGGGGAGCAAACAGGAUUAGAAACCCCUGUAGUCC
This 292-nucleotide ribosomal RNA is filed under the name uncultured bacterium. RNAcentral's name for it is "partial 16S ribosomal RNA". It matches the Rfam family "Bacterial small subunit ribosomal RNA", at positions 505 to 796 of the family's 1533-position model. The record is from RNAcentral.